RNAcentral lists this ribosomal RNA (200 nucleotides) under uncultured bacterium. RNAcentral describes it as "partial 16S ribosomal RNA". It matches the Rfam family "Bacterial small subunit ribosomal RNA", at positions 29 to 258 of the family's 1533-position model. The record is from RNAcentral.
AACGAACGCUGGCGGCAGGCUUAACACAUGCAAGUCGAACGCCCCGCAAGGGGAGUGGCAGACGGGUGAGUAACGCGUGGGAAUCUACCCAGAUCUUCGGAACAACUGAGGGAAACUUCAGCUAAUACCGGAUACGCCCUACGGGGGAAAGAUUUAUCGGAUCUGGAUGAGCCCGCGUUGGAUUAGCUAGUUGGUGGGGU